GGCGCCCCCGCGCCCGGGUUUGCGGGAAAGCGUAUAGGGGCGCGAGGCGCGGGCAGGGUCGUCUGGAUGCUGCGGGGACCGGCGGUCGGCCGGGCUGGGACGCCGGCGCGGGCUGCGGAGAAGGGCCGAGCCCCCGCGGCUGCCUCCGGCCCCGCGCUCCACCCGCCCGCUCGCUCUGAGUCUUUAUCCGGACCGGAGCGUGGGGAGCCGCGUCCUUAUCUGCGCCGGGAAGCGCGGGCUGGCGAGGUGGGGUCACGGGCCCGGGGCCAGCGCGGGGCGCCCGCGCCCUCGGCGCACGAUCGCGGGGCCGCGGGUGGGGUCGUGGGGACCCCAGCCCUGCGCGGCCCGCGGCCUCUCGCCUUCCUGGCGUCCACGGCCACUUCUCAGCUACGUCGAGGCCGUGAAUUUAGCGGGGAGGGCGACCGGGAGCAAGUGGCCGGGUUCCAGGUCCCGAUCUGUCCUGCCGGGCCUCUGGAGAAAACUGGUUCUUUCACUGGCACCUGGAAGUGCCCUUUCGGUGAACCUUUUGAAAAGGUCUGUGUUUGUGAAUGGCUCCCUCAAGCAAGGUAAAUAUUUGCCAAUAGCAAAAUCAAAUUUACUCCUCAGAUGGAAUAUGACUUUACACUGAUUAUUGUUGUAGAACUGUUUAAGGACUCCGUGUUUAAUAGUAUGGGCUAAAUGCACUCUUCACAAAGCAGCCUUUUGAGGGUGUGCUGGGGUGGGUGGACCAGGUGGGGGAUCAGGCAGCCUGGUCAUUAAGUGCAUGACUUAGAGCAGCCUGUGUCAAAGCUUUCCCUUGAAUCUAGCAGUUUUUUCUCAUUUCCAGGACUUGAGCAUCCAUUAACGGUGCAGCUUGGGUGAAUGAAACACAUGACACAGAUUUUGGUCUGAUGAGGAGGCCUCUCUCUCUCUCUCUCUCUCUCUCUCUCUCUCUCUCUCUCUCUCUCUUUUCUCUCUCCCUCCCUCUCUCUCAGCAAAGAGAGACUGACAGACAGUGAGAGUGAGCGGCCCUGUGCUGGGUCCCUCCCAGCUGCCCUCGGCGGCAGAGGUUGCAUCAGACUGGAGCCUGGAGCCAGGAUCUCAAGUGGGUGGCGGGGAUCCAGCUACUUGAGCCAGCACAGCUGCUUCCCGGCGUGGGUGUUAGCAAGAACCUGGAGUCGGGGGCCAGAGACGGGGCUCACACCCGGGCCCUGCACGGUCCCUCCGCGUCUCUACCACCAGGCCACAUGCCUGCUCCUGAAGUGGCUGCCUUCUUAGGGUCAGCGUGACCGGGGUGGGUGACGUCAUGUCCCUCUUGAUGCUUUUAGUCGCUUUCUGUUGCUGUCUUGACCCGGUCCUGAGUCCUGCCCAUGUUUGGGAGUGACUGCGCUCUCUUGCAGACAGAAUGCCAGACCUGGGUUAGGUUCUGGGGACGGAAAGUGUAUCUUAAAGACACAGUCACUGGCUUUUUAAGGAGCAUAGAGUCAGGGGUUAAGACUCUGGGAGUCUUUGGGAGGGACUUCUGUGGUACAUUUUACAACUCCAAUAUGUGUGAUAUUUGUGCCUAGAAAAACAAGUGCUAUCUUUUAAG
Long non-coding RNA from Oryctolagus cuniculus (rabbit), 1570 nucleotides. The record is from Ensembl. Lineage: Eukaryota; Metazoa; Chordata; Mammalia; Lagomorpha; Leporidae.